Molecule: unclassified non-coding RNA, 204 nt
Filed under: plant metagenome
Description: partial contains small subunit ribosomal RNA, internal transcribed spacer 1, and 5.8S ribosomal RNA
Source: RNAcentral
UCUCCGUUGGUGAACCAGCGGAGGGAUCAUUACCGAGUUUACAACUCCCAAACCCAAUGUGAACUAUACCUGUCUACCGUUGCUUCGGCGGGUUCGCCCGCCAAGGGACCGACAAAUAAACUCUUGUAUUUCUAUCUUUAGCAUGUCUGAGUGGAAUCAUAAACAAAUGAAUCAAAACUUUCAACAACGGAUCUCUUGGUUCUG